This 394-nucleotide ribosomal RNA is filed under the name uncultured bacterium. RNAcentral describes it as "partial 16S ribosomal RNA". It matches the Rfam family "Bacterial small subunit ribosomal RNA", at positions 523 to 915 of the family's 1533-position model. The record is from RNAcentral.
AUACGUAGGGGGCGAGCGUUGUUCGGAAUGAUUGGGCGUAAAGGGCGCGUAGGCGGCGCGGUAAGUCUGGAGUGAAAGUCCUGCGUUCAAGGUGGGAAUUGCUUUGGAUACUGCCGCGCUUGAGUGCAGGAGAGGUUAUCGGAAUUCCCGGUGUAGCGGUGAAAUGCGUAGAGAUCGGGAGGAACACCAGUGGCGAAGGCGGGUAACUGGACUGCAACGGACGCUGAGGCGCGAAAGUGUGGGGAGCAAACAGGAUUAGAUACCCUGGUAGUCCACACUGUAAACGAUGAAUGCUAGGUGUAAGAGGUAUCGACCCCUUUUGUGCCGGAGUCAACACAAUAAGCAUUCCGCCUGGGGAGUACGGCCGCAAGGUUGAAACUCAAAUGAAUUGACG